RNAcentral lists this ribosomal RNA (464 nucleotides) under uncultured bacterium. RNAcentral's name for it is "partial 16S ribosomal RNA". It matches the Rfam family "Bacterial small subunit ribosomal RNA", at positions 339 to 795 of the family's 1533-position model. The record is from RNAcentral.
CUACGGGACGCAGCAGUGGGGAAUAUUGCACAAUGGGCGCAAGCCUGAUGCAGCCAUGCCGCGUGUAUGAAGAAGGCCUUCGGGUUGUAAAGUACUUUCAGCGGGGAGGAAGGGAGUAAAGUUAAUACCUUUGCUCAUUGACGUUACCCGCAGAAGAAGCACCGGCUAACUCCGUGCCAGCAGCCGCGGUAAUACGGAGGGUGCAAGCGUUAAUCGGAAUUACUGGGCGUAAAGCGCACGCAGGCGGUUUGUUAAGUCAGAUGUGAAAUCCCCGGGCUCAACCUGGGAACUGCAUCUGAUACUGGCAAGCUUGAGUCUCGUAGAGGGGGGUAGAAUUCCAGGUGUAGCGGUGAAAUGCGUAGAGAUCUGGAGGAAUACCGGUGGCGAAGGCAGCCCCCUGGACGAAGACUGACGCUCAGGUGCGAAAGCGUGGGGAGCAAACAGGAUUAGAUACCCCCGUAGUC